CACCUGAGCUGCCUGUCCCGGCACACAGCCACCAUCACCAACAGGUUCCCCAGGAUGGCCAUCAGGAUAACCGCAGAGAUGAAGGCUAUUUCUUCUGACAUAUCCAGAACCAAAGGCACCUCAACCCAACACUCAUGUAUUUCCACAGUACAUCACAGUGGUGAGAAAGGAUGCCUGCUCACAGCAUCAUGUGGGGCUGGAAGUAAGCUGGCAUUAAAAGCAGAACUCAACACUGAUCCAGCAGGGAGAUUUCUUCACUGCGUAUGGAGCUGGCACUCAGCACUGGGAUUAAUGUGGUGAGAUUGCUCAGGUCACAACCCAACUUCCCUACAAUUGCAGAGGGAUAAAAUGACCAAUGAACAGCACAGAGCACCUUGAGCACUGCAGAUGUGAUGUGAUGAGGGAGACAGAAAACAGAGCAGAUGGAGAGGAGAUGACGCACGGGGGCUGGAUGGCCAGAGAGCCAUUUCCUGACCACAAGGGAAAGAUUCUGCCCGCAGAGGUGACGUGGAGCAUCACCUGGAGGCAGCUGGGCACCUCCUGAGCACCUCAUAGCAAAGUGCUUGUGUAAUUGUCAGUGAUUCAGAGCCCAGAGCUGUGAGUGUUACCAGGUUCCCUUAGACUUGUUCCUUGAUUUAGCAGUGGCCUCAAGGGAAGUGGGGAAUGCUGGAAGAGCCCGUCUGCUUACUGCAGCCAAACCAUGGCUUCUCACUCUGUAACUCCAGGUGACACGUGAUUUCAUGCAGUCCUUUCACUGCGAGUAAGCUGUUAUUUGCCUCUUCUCCUCUCUACUCCCCUAAUUAUUCCAAGGCAUAAAAGCAGAGGCUGAUUGUUAAACACUUAAAAAUCAAGAUAUGUUAUUAUAUGAGUAAACCUAACAAUGCGCAUCUCAGCACAGAAACAUGACAAUAGGGAAGACAUUAUUUGAUCUAUGGCUUUCUAGCUGUUACCAUAUUC
Non-coding RNA from Coturnix japonica (Japanese quail), 957 nucleotides. The record is from RefSeq and is a predicted model, not a curated record. Lineage: Eukaryota; Metazoa; Chordata; Aves; Galliformes; Phasianidae.